GGCCGGAUGGUGGAAUUGGUAUACACAGCAGACUUAAAAUCUGUCGCUUUAAAGCUUGCGGGUUCGAGUCCCGCUCCGGCUACCA
RNAcentral lists this transfer RNA (85 nucleotides) under Flavobacteriales bacterium. Its description in RNAcentral is "tRNA-Leu". It matches the Rfam family "tRNA". From Rfam's summary of the family: Transfer RNA (tRNA) molecules are approximately 80 nucleotides in length. Their secondary structure includes four short double-helical elements and three loops (D, anti-codon, and T loops). Lineage: Bacteria; Pseudomonadati; Bacteroidota; Flavobacteriia; Flavobacteriales. The record is from RNAcentral.